GAUGAACGCUGGCGGCGUGCCUAAUACAUGCAAGUCGAGCGAACGGACGAGAAGCUUGCUUUUCUGAUGUUAGCGGCGGACGGGUGAGUAACACGUGGAUAACCUACCUAUAAGACUGGGAUAACUUCGGGAAACCGGAGCUAAUACCGGAUAAUAUUUUGAACCGCAUGGUUCAAAAGUGAAGGACGGUCUUGCUGUCACUUAUAGAUGGAUCCGCGCUGCAUUAGCUAGUUGGUAAGGUAACGGCUUACCAAGGCAACGAUGCAUAGCCGACCUGAGAGGGUGAUCGGCCACACUGGAACUGAGACACGGUCCAGACUCCUACGGGAGGCAGCAGUAGGGAAUCUUCCGCAAUGGGCGAAAGCCUGACGGAGCAACGCCGCGUGAGUGAUGAAGGUCUUCGGAUCGUAAAACUCUGUUAUUAGGGAAGAACAUAUGUGUAAGUAACUGUGCACAUCUUGACGGUACCUAAUCAGAAAGCCACGGCUAACUACGUGCCAGCAGCCGCGGUAAUACGUAGGUGGCAAGCGUUAUCCGGAAUUAUUGGGCGUAAAGCGCGCGUAGGCGGUUUUUUAAGUCUGAUGUGAAAGCCCACGGCUCAACCGUGGAGGGUCAUUGGAAACUGGAAAACUUGAGUGCAGAAGAGGAAAGUGGAAUUCCAUGUGUAGCGGUGAAAUGCGCAGAGAUGUGGAGGAACACCAGUGGCGAAGGCGACUUUCUGGUCUGUAACUGACGCUGAUGUGCGAAAGCGUGGGGAUCAAACAGGAUUAGAUACCCUGGUAGUCCACGCCGUAAACGAUGAGUGCUAAGUGUUAGGGGGUUUCCGCCCCUUAGUGCUGCAGCUAACGCAUUAAGCACUCCGCCUGGGGAGUACGACCGCAAGGUUGAGACUCAAAGGAAUUGACGGGGGCCCGCACAAGCGGUGGAGCAUGUGGUUUAAUUCGAAGCAACGCGAAGAACCUUACCAAAUCUUGACAUCCUUUGACAACUCUAGAGAUAGAGCCUUCCCCUUCGGGGGACAAAGUGACAGGUGGUGCAUGGUUGUCGUCAGCUCGUGUCGUGAGAUGUUGGGUUAAGUCCCGCAACGAGCGCAACCCUUAAGCUUAGUUGCCAUCAUUAAGUUGGGCACUCUAAGUUGACUGCCGGUGACAAACCGGAGGAAGGUGGGGAUGACGUCAAAUCAUCAUGCCCCUUAUGAUUUGGGCUACACACGUGCUACAAUGGACAAUACAAAGGGCAGCGAAACCGCGAGGUCAAGCAAAUCCCAUAAAGUUGUUCUCAGUUCGGAUUGUAGUCUGCAACUCGACUACAUGAAGCUGGAAUCGCUAGUAAUCGUAGAUCAGCAUGCUACGGUGAAUACGUUCCCGGGUCU
This 1372-nucleotide ribosomal RNA is filed under the name uncultured bacterium. RNAcentral describes it as "bacterial SSU rRNA". It matches the Rfam family "Bacterial small subunit ribosomal RNA", at positions 28 to 1381 of the family's 1533-position model. The record is from RNAcentral.